This 499-nucleotide ribosomal RNA is filed under the name uncultured bacterium. RNAcentral describes it as "bacterial SSU rRNA". It matches the Rfam family "Bacterial small subunit ribosomal RNA", at positions 19 to 518 of the family's 1533-position model. The record is from RNAcentral.
AUGGCUCAGGAUGAACGCUGGCGGCGUGCCUAACACAUGCAAGUCGAACGGAAACCAGACGCUUCGGAGACUUCGGUCAAUGUUGUUGGUUUAGUGGCGGACGGGUGAGUAACGCGUGGAUAACCUGCCUCAUACAGGGGGAUAACAGUUAGAAAUGACUGCUAAUACCGCAUAAGCGCACGGGAUCGCAUGUUCCUGUGUGAAAAACUCCGGUGGUAUGAGAUGGAUCCGCGUCUGAUUAGCUAGUUGGCGGGGUAACAGCCCACCAAGGCGACGAUCAGUAGCCGGCCUGAGAGGGUGAACGGCCACAUUGGGACUGAGACACGGCCCAAACUCCUACGGGAGGCAGCAGUGGGGGAUAUUGCACAAUGGGGGAAACCCUGAUGCAGCCGACGCCGCGUGAGUGAAGAAGUAUUUCGGUAUGUAAAGCUCUAUCAGCAGGGAAGAUAAUGACGGUACCUGACUAAGAAGCACCGGCUAAAUACGUGCCAGCCGCCGC